UCCUGCACAAAGUGUGUGCUUCGAUUUUUGAUCCGUCAAAGAACAUGGCCGCCGUUACUUAAAAUAGAACAUAGGGGUCAAAUGCAGUUUUUGGCUUAUAUCUCAAAAACGAAAGCAUUUAGAGCAAAUCUGACAUGAGGUAAAAAUGUUCAUUAGGUCAAGAUCUAUCAGCCCUGAAAUUUUCAGAUGAAUCAAACAAACCAUUGUUGGGUUGCUGCCACUUAAUUGGUAAUUUUAAGGAAAUUUUGCAGUUUUUGGUCAUUAUCU
RNAcentral lists this long non-coding RNA (267 nucleotides) under Mytilus galloprovincialis (Mediterranean mussel). Lineage: Eukaryota; Metazoa; Mollusca; Bivalvia; Mytilida; Mytilidae. The record is from RNAcentral.